UGCUUGCACUACUGUAAGUCGCUCUGGAUAAGAGCGUCUGCUAAAUGACUGAAA
Non-coding RNA from Salmo salar (Atlantic salmon), 54 nucleotides. NCBI's taxonomy places the organism in Eukaryota, Metazoa, Chordata, Actinopteri, Salmoniformes, Salmonidae. The record is from Rfam.